AUCAUAAGGGGAUAACACUUGGAAACAGGGGCUAAUACCGUAUAAUAAUCGAAACCGCAUGGUUUUGAUUUGAAAGGCGCUUUCGGGUGUCGCUGAUGGAUGGACCCGCGGUGCAUUAGCUAGUUGGUGAGGUAACGGCUCACCCAGGCCACGAUGCAUAGCCGACCUGAGAGGGUGAUCGGCCACAUUGGGACUGACACACGGCCCAAACUCCUACGGGAGGCAGCACUAGGGAAUCUUCGGCAAUGGACGAAAGUCUGACCGAGCAACUCCGAUUGAGUGAAUAAGGUUUUCGGAUCGUAAAACUCUGUUGUUAGAGAAGAACAAGGAUGAGAGUAACUGUUCAUCCCUUGACGGUAUCUAACCAGAAAGCCACGGCUAACUACGUGCCAGCGGCCGCGGUAAUACGUAUGUGGCAAGCGUUGUCCGGAUUUAUUGGGCGUAAAGCGAGCGCAGGCGGUUUCUUAAGUCUGAUGUGAAAGCCCCCGGCUCAACCGGGGAGGGUCAUUGGAAACUGGGAGACUUGAGUGCAGAAGAGGAGAGUGGAAUUCCAUGUGUAGCGGUGAAAUGCGUAGAUAUAUGGAGGAACACCAGUGGCGAAUGCGGCUCUCUGGUCUGUAACUGACGCUGAAGCUCGAAAGCGUAGCCGAGCAAAC
This 656-nucleotide ribosomal RNA is filed under the name Enterococcus sp. RNAcentral describes it as "bacterial SSU rRNA". It matches the Rfam family "Bacterial small subunit ribosomal RNA", at positions 132 to 773 of the family's 1533-position model. Lineage: Bacteria; Bacillati; Bacillota; Bacilli; Lactobacillales; Enterococcaceae. The record is from RNAcentral.